CGGCAGCACAGAAAGGACAAACGAGGAACAGACAUGUUUGCGUUUCUGAGAAGGUGAUGGUGGUUGUUGUUGUUGUUGUUGUUGUUGUUGUUGUUGUUGUUGUGGUUGUUGUUGUUGUUGUUGUUGUUGUUGUGGUUGUUGUUGUUGUUGUUGUUGUUGUUGUGGUUGUUGUUGUUGUGGUUGUUGUUGUUGUUGUUGUUGUGGUUGUUGUUGUUGUUGUGGUUGUUGUUGUUGUUGUGGUUGUUGUUGUUGUUGUUGUUGUUGUUGUUGUUGUUGUUGUUGUUGUUGUUGUUGUUGUUGUUCUGAAGGAUGAUUCUGAUAUUAAAGACCUGAACUAUGUGGGCUCAUACUCCUCCUGGAGGGGCUAAGAACUCUUUUUGACUCUUUGGAGCUCUCGAGGAACCCUGUUAGAACCUGGUUUGUAGUCUUUGAGAGCUUUGUUAGACCUUCUUUAGGGCUCUGUCAGAACUCUAGAACUCUUCAAGAACCCCAAGUGAGUCCAGUUGUUAGAACUAUUAUAAAAGUCUGUCUGAGCUCUGUUUUAAAGCUCGGUUAGGUCUGUGUCUGAGGGUUUAGUGAUAACUGUUGAACUCUGAGAACCUCAUCAGAAGUCUGCUGGAACACUUGGAGACCUUGGGAGGUGUGGUCUACAUGGGUUUGGGGAACUCUUUCAGAAAUCUUCUGAUCUGUUUUAGAGCUCUGAGGUUUUGUGGUCCUUCCACUGAGAUCUCUCGCUCACACAGUCUGAGACGGUUUUAACAGGACAGGUGAGUCUUCCUACCUGGACCUAGAUCUUCAGACCUGACUGUGUAGAUGCUGCACACACAUGAAGAGACAAACAGACACCAGAUGGAUCUGUAGUGGGAACACACGGAUACUGGUCUGUGGUUCAACAGUCGAAUGAUUGAAAUGAGGAGUCCAGCCCACACACACACACACACACACACACACACACACACACACACACACACACACACACACACACACACACACACACACACUGUGGAUUGUGUGGUGGUACACUGACGCUCUCGUCCCCUCACUCUCACUCUCACAAAGGCCCCUCUCUCUCUCUCUCUCUCUCUCUCCCUCUCUCUCUCUCUCUCUGUCUCUCGCUCUCUUUCUCUCCCCCCCUCUCUCCCUCUCUCUCAUGUGGACCUACAUACCACCGCCCUGAUGUCAGUUUGUUCUCCCUCAGCUGAAGGACACUCCUCGUUUGUUCUCAGAGUCUCUGUAGACACUGUUGUGGUCUGAUCUUCGAGGUUCGACCAUGAGAAAGUAUUUCCUCAUAUUAGUCAAUGAUUCGUCCUCAUCACCGGCUUCAGUGAUCAGGAGUGUCAACAGAUAAUCAAUGAUUAUUUAGUAAUAGAUUUGUGGAGCCCAAACUUCUGAUGACCUUCUCUGUGGUGACCUCCUGACACCAUCUCCUCUAAAACCGUCUCAGUGUUCGGUUCUUCGUCUUUACACAGCUUUGACUUUCUCCUCAGAGUUGAACUUCUGUGUUUUAUUUUAUACUUUAAUUCUUCAAACUCAGUCUUUAUCGAGUGUAUACUGACGCUCUGCUGUAAACCGCGCUCAUGUUCGUCAGCGUCUCCACGCUCAAACGUCCUUCUGAAGACUUUGAGAUGUUUUCACAGACUGACUGUCCCGAGGUUUCUAUCUCUCAGACUGAAGGUCUCCUAACAAACUGAUGUUUACGGGACAGUGAGCUCGCUCGGAUUAGAUUAUGAGGAAAACAAACAAACAGGAGGUCAAAGUUCAGCUGUAAAUGAACGUGUUGAAUCACUCUGAGGUGAACGUCUGCACAGGUGAACGUAUGCACAGGUGUGUUUGUAACUGCAGGUAUUUGAGUCUUCAUGGUCAUGACCCAUCAGCUGAUACGUGAGGUCAUCCUCAGUUAACAGAUGAGGUCAUAACAGUGACGGCGGCGUUGGUAUCAGCUGCAGCACUCACAGUCCUGACUGAUGAAGAUGAAGAAGAAGAAGGUCAAACACGGACCGCAGAUAAGUGAUGGUGUGUUUUUGAGCUUCACUGUGUUCAUGUCUCCAACACGAUAAGACAACGAGGACAUCAGAGUCUCAAAGACGGUCUCAUCACAUCUGAAUCUGAGACAAACAGAAAAAAACGUCUGAUGGAUGUUUGAGUUUCCUGUUUGACACUGAAGAAGACAAACGCCGAGCUGAUCGUUGUCGGGUAAAAGAGCUCUUUGUUUUGUUUGUUUCUUUAUUUUUUAAUUUUCUUUAUUUUCUUUAUUUUUUUUAUUUUCUUUAUUUAAUUUUUCUUUAUUUUUGAAUUUUCUUUGUUUUUUAUUUUUUAAUUUUCUUUAUUUUCUUAAUUUUUUUAUUUUUUAAUUUUCUUUAUUUUUUUUAUUUUCUUUGUUUAUUUUCUCUUUUUUCUUUAUUUUCUUUAUUUAAUUUUUUCUUUAUUUUUGAAUUUUCUUUUUAUUUUCUUUAUCUUUAUUUUUUUAUUUUUUAUUUUCUUUAUUUAUUUUUUCUUUAUUUUUGAAUUUUCUUCAAGUUUUAAUUUUCUUUAUUUUCUUAAUUUUUUUAUUUUCUUUAUUUUCUUUAUUUCCUUUAUUUUCUUUAUUUCCUUUAUUUUCUUUAUUUUUUUAUUUUCUUUAUUUUUUAUUUUCUUUAUUUUUUUUUUUUCUUUAUUUUUUUUUUCUUUAUUUUUGAAUUUUCUUUAAGUUUUAAUUUUCUUUGUUUCCUUUGUUUUCUUUUUUUCUUUAUUUUCUUUGUUUCUUUAUUUUCUUAAUUUUCUUAUUUUCUUUAUUUUCUUUCUCAGUGUUUCUGAGUUUGUGAAGCUUCAGUCUCCAGGACACAGAGAGGCCAACAGAGGCGGAGUCAGCACACACAGCGCCCCCUAAACCACAGAAACAGAACUGCAGCUGACAGGCUGUGAGUCUCCAAAUCCUGGUCCAAGUCCUCCUGUAAGAGGAUCAGAACUUCUAUAUUUACAUUCACCACAGCGAGGAACUAAGCAGAUUAGUGAGCAGAGAUACGGGGAAGGAACACCAGGACCAGAACAGGGACUCCCAAACACCUGAGAGACCCUCAGACCCUGUUAUCAGGACUCAGACCACAGCAGACCGAGACAGGGUCAGGUCUCCUUCAGGACCCAGAAUCUCAGAUCUAAUCUCAGCGUUUUAAAGAAGAACUGGAAUAAAAUGAAG
Molecule: long non-coding RNA, 3172 nt
Filed under: Xyrichtys novacula (pearly razorfish)
Lineage: Eukaryota; Metazoa; Chordata; Actinopteri; Labriformes; Labridae
Source: RNAcentral